GUGCUUACUCUGGCAGCACAUAUACUAAAACUGGAAUGAUUCAGGGAAGAUUAGUAUGGCCCCUGUGCCAGGAUGACACAUGAAUUCGUGAAGCAUUCUAUAUUAAA
Molecule: small nuclear RNA, 107 nt
Organism: Cebus imitator (Panamanian white-faced capuchin)
Lineage: Eukaryota; Metazoa; Chordata; Mammalia; Primates; Cebidae
Source: RefSeq, a predicted model, not a curated record